Hippocampus comes (tiger tail seahorse) is the source of this 504-nucleotide long non-coding RNA. RefSeq lists it as uncharacterized. Lineage: Eukaryota; Metazoa; Chordata; Actinopteri; Syngnathiformes; Syngnathidae. The transcript is spliced from 3 exons. The record is from RefSeq and is a predicted model, not a curated record.
UGUCAAUCAAAAAGCAAUCGCAAACAGCGUUUGACUUGAAUACUAUUCUGAGGUUGCUCAUUGUACUUUAGGUGUGGCUAGAGAGCCGCGAGUGGAUCGCUCAAACAGAUGCAUUGCGAGUGUGGGCACGUUUGGAAAUGGACAGGUUGAAAAUUAGUUAGAUUACUGGGCCAAAGGCCCAGCCGCCAGACUCGGAGGAUAUGUGGAAGGGACGCCAACCUGCAUUUGGACACGCGUGAGUACUGAGCUGUGUGGUGUGCUUGAAGAGCUGAUGUCUGAUGUCACAUUGCACCACAAGGUGGAGGUGAGUGUGCCUGCCUGUCUGUCUCUCACUCAAUUUAAACUUCUGCUUCGUGUACUGCACAACAGUGUCAACUCCACAUAGACAACCCAAGCAUCACCAAGCACUUCUGGAAUAUGUUUUUAAACCUUGAAGUGGACCAAGUUAGUUUAAAAAUGUGUUUAAUACACAUACAUAUGACUAACUUGGCCUACUUCAAUGUC